GUGCUCACUUCAGCAGCACAUAUACUAGAAUUGGAACAAUAUAGAGAUCAGAAUGGCCCCUGCACAAGGUUGACAAAUUUGUGAAGCAUUCCAUAUUUUU
Canis lupus familiaris (dog) is the source of this 100-nucleotide non-coding RNA. Lineage: Eukaryota; Metazoa; Chordata; Mammalia; Carnivora; Canidae. The record is from Rfam.